AGAUUGAACAUAAGAGUUUGAUCCUGGCUCAGAUUGAACGCUGGCGGCAUGCUUUACACAUGCAAGUCGGACGGCAGCACAGGGAAGCUUGCUUCUCGGGUGGCGAGUGGCGAACGGGUGAGUAACAUAUCGGAACGUACCGGGUAGCGGGGGAUAACUGAUCGAAAGAUCAGCUAAUACCGCAUACGUCUUGAGAGGGAAAGCAGGGGACCUUCGGGCCUUGCGCUAUCCGAGCGGCCGAUAUCUGAUUAGCUGGUUGGCGGGGUAAAGGCCCACCAAGGCGACGAUCAGUAGCGGGUCUGAGAGGAUGAUCCGCCACACUGGGACUGAGACACGGCCCAGACUCCUACGGGAGGCAGCAGUGGGGAAUUUUGGACAAUGGGCGCAAGCCUGAUCCAGCCAUGCCGCGUGUCUGAAGAAGGCCUUCGGGUUGUAAAGGACUUUUGUCAGGGAAGAAAAGGCCGUUGCCAAUAUCGGCGGCCGAUGACG
RNAcentral lists this ribosomal RNA (489 nucleotides) under Neisseria gonorrhoeae. Its description in RNAcentral is "bacterial SSU rRNA". It matches the Rfam family "Bacterial small subunit ribosomal RNA", at positions 1 to 474 of the family's 1533-position model. Lineage: Bacteria; Pseudomonadati; Pseudomonadota; Betaproteobacteria; Neisseriales; Neisseriaceae. The record is from RNAcentral.